RNAcentral lists this unclassified non-coding RNA (216 nucleotides) under Hevea brasiliensis (rubber tree). The record is from RNAcentral. Lineage: Eukaryota; Viridiplantae; Streptophyta; Magnoliopsida; Malpighiales; Euphorbiaceae.
GCAUGGUCAUCUCCAGAUAAAAGCCUUUAAGAUGAAUAUUGGACUGGAUCUCUUGAUUAUAGGAGGCCUACAUUAGGUUAUUGUACCUUUAUUGGUGGUAAUCUCUUUACUUGGACACGCAAGGAACAAAAUGUGACAACUAGAUCAAGUGCUGGAGUAGAAUAUAGGGCUAUCGCACAAAGCAUCUAUGAGCUAUUGUAGUUGCGGAAAUUGAUG